GACGAACGCUGGCGGCGUGCUUAACACAUGCAAGUCGAACGGAAAGGCCCUGCUUUUGUGGUGUGCUCGAGUGGCGAACGGGUGAGUAACACGUGAGUAACCUGCCCGUGACUUUGGGAUAACUGCAGGAAACUGGGGCUAAUACCGGAUAGGAGCUCCUACUGCAUGGUGGGGGUUGGAAAGUUUCGGCGGUUGGGGAUGGACUCGCGGCUUAUCAGCUUGUUGGUGGGGUAGUGGCUUACCAAGGCUUUGACGGGUAGCCGGCCUGAGAGGGUGACCGGCCACAUUGGGACUGAGAUACGGCCCAGACUCCUACGGGAGGCAGCAGUGGGGAAUAUUGCACAAUGGGCGGAAGCCUGAUGCAGCAACGCCGCGUGCGGGAUGACGGCCUUCGGGUUGUAAACCGCUUUCGCCUGUGACGAAGCGUGAGUGACGGUAAUGGGUAAAGAAGCACCGGCUAACUACGUG
Molecule: ribosomal RNA, 468 nt
Filed under: uncultured bacterium
Lineage: Bacteria
Description: partial 16S ribosomal RNA
Rfam family: Bacterial small subunit ribosomal RNA
Source: RNAcentral